This 782-nucleotide ribosomal RNA is filed under the name Triactis producta. RNAcentral's name for it is "partial 12S ribosomal RNA". It matches the Rfam family "Bacterial small subunit ribosomal RNA", at positions 337 to 1427 of the family's 1533-position model. Lineage: Eukaryota; Metazoa; Cnidaria; Anthozoa; Actiniaria; Aliciidae. The record is from RNAcentral.
UCACAUAGAGGCAGCAGUAGAGAAUCUUGUGCAAUAAACGAAAGUAUGACACAGAGAGGACACAUUUAAUUGAGCCCGUCAAAUUAAGUGCCAGCCGACGCGGUUAAACUUAAGGGCUGGUCUUUAUAAGUAAAAAGGCGUAAAGGAUGUGUAGGCCAAGAAACGACCCAAGAAGGUAAAUGGAAUUUUUCUGGAGCGGUAGAAUGUGAGGAUAGAAAAUAGAACCCCUAAGGUUAAAACUAUUUACCACAAGGUAGGCUGAAACAUGAGUGUGUGGGGAGCAAACAGGAUUAGAGACCCUGGUAGUCCACACUGUGAACUUUGAAGAUGAUGCUUAGCAGACCCGAAAGGUAAAAUCUUCCGCCUGAGUAGUACGAUCGCAAGAUUAAAAUUCAAAAACUUUGGCUGUUCACUAUUUCGAUUAGAGGAGCGUGUAGUUUAAUUCGAUGGUCCGCGUGUUACCUUACCCCAACUUGAAUCUGUGACCGGUAUUGCAUGGCCGUCGUAAGUUCGUGUAUUAAGCUAGAAGGGACCCAACCCGGGCAUUUGCCCGGAGGAAGUCAGGUCUUAUGAUCCGAAUGUUGGGGGAUUUUAUGCGCUACAUUUUCUUAUAUAAUGGGAGACCUGGAAGGUGAGCCUCUAAAGUAAGAGUUCGGAAGGUCGCUGUAAGACGACUGGAAGUUGGAUUUAAUAGUAAUCGGAAAGUAGGGCGUUCCGGUGAAUUGGUACAAGUGUUAGCACAAAUUGCCCGUCGCCUUUACCUAGAAUGGUUAUUCGGACGC